RNAcentral lists this ribosomal RNA (342 nucleotides) under Triticum aestivum (bread wheat). RNAcentral's name for it is "partial small subunit ribosomal RNA". The record is from RNAcentral. Lineage: Eukaryota; Viridiplantae; Streptophyta; Magnoliopsida; Poales; Poaceae.
AUGCAUGGAUGGUUCAAGAUCAAGCCAUCCUAUCUGCAAUCCGGUCCUUUCUCACAGAAGGAAUCUCGUCGCUGGUCAUCUUUGCCGCUACGUCUCGGGACGCGUGGACGGCUCUUCAUAUCACUUUUGCUUCGCAGUCCCAGGCGCGUGCUCAUGCUAUUCACACCGGAUAGGAUUCAGAUGUAUAGACCUAUAUGCAUGCUCAAUGUCCCGUUUAAAAUCUUUACCAAAGUCUUAAACAAUAGAGCUAUGACUACUGCUCACAAGACGAUUUCUAAGGUGUAUGCAAGAGAAUGGACUUUGUUCGUGCUCGUAUGGUUUGGCAAGAAAGGGAUGGAGUGA